Molecule: ribosomal RNA, 254 nt
Filed under: uncultured bacterium
Lineage: Bacteria
Description: partial 16S ribosomal RNA
Rfam family: Bacterial small subunit ribosomal RNA
Source: RNAcentral
UACAGAGGUCCCAAGCGUUGUUCGGAUUCAUUGGGCGUAAAGGGUGCGUAGGCGGCGCGGUAAGUCGGGUGUGAAAUCGUCGGGGCUUAACUCCGAAACUGCAUUCGAUACUGCCGUGCUUGAGGACUGGAGAGGAGACUGGAAUUUACGGUGUAGCGGUGAAAUGCGUAGAUAUCGUAAGGAAGACCAGUGGCGAAGGCGGGUCUCUGGACAGUUCCUGACGCUGAGGCACGAAGGCCAGGGGAGCAAACGGG